RNAcentral lists this ribosomal RNA (571 nucleotides) under uncultured bacterium. RNAcentral describes it as "bacterial SSU rRNA". It matches the Rfam family "Bacterial small subunit ribosomal RNA", at positions 66 to 642 of the family's 1533-position model. The record is from RNAcentral.
GCGAGAAAAGGGGGGCAACUCCCUGAGUACAGCGGCGCACGGGUGAGUAACACGUGGGUAAUCUGCCCUGAAGUGGGGAAUAACACCGGGAAACCGGUGCUAAUACCGCAUACGAUCACGGAGUCUGCGGAUUUUGUGAUGAAAGGAGCAAUUCGCUUUAGGAGGAGCCCGCGGCUGAUUAGCUAGUUGGUGAGGUAACGGCUCACCAAGGCUACGAUCAGUAUCCGGUCUGAGAGGACGGUCGGACACACUGGAACUGAGACACGGUCCAGACUCCUACGGGAGGCAGCAGUGGGGAAUUUUUCGCAAUGGGGGCAACCCUGACGAAGCAACGCCGCGUGGGUGAUGAAGUCUCUUGGGACGUAAAACCCUUUCGACGGGGAAGAAACCGCAAGGUUGACGGUACCCGUAGAAGAAGCCCCGGCUAACUCCGUGCCAGCAGCCGCGGUAAUACGGGGGGGGGCAAGCGUUGUUCGGAAUUACUGGGCGUAAAGGGUGCGUAGGCGGUUCGUUAAGUUAGAUGUGAAAACUCUGGGCUCAACCCAGAGCCUGCAUCUGAAACUGGCGGGCU